This 253-nucleotide ribosomal RNA is filed under the name uncultured bacterium. RNAcentral's name for it is "partial 16S ribosomal RNA". It matches the Rfam family "Bacterial small subunit ribosomal RNA", at positions 524 to 776 of the family's 1533-position model. The record is from RNAcentral.
GACAGAGGUGCCAAGCGUUAGGCGGAAUCACUGGGCUUAAAGCGUGUGUAGGCGGACUGGUAAGUACCUUGUGAAAUCCCACGGCUCAACCGUGGAACUGCUCGGUAUACUGCUCGUCUUGAGCCACUUAGGGGCUGUCGGAACAAACGGUGGAGCGGUGAAAUGCGUAGAUAUCGAGAGGAACACCUGCGGCGAAGGCGGGUUGCUGGGCUGACACUGACGCUGAAGUGCGAAAGCUAGGGGAGCGAACGGG